Molecule: long non-coding RNA, 621 nt
Organism: Lotus japonicus
Lineage: Eukaryota; Viridiplantae; Streptophyta; Magnoliopsida; Fabales; Fabaceae
Exons: 3
Source: RefSeq, a predicted model, not a curated record
CAUGAUAAUAAUUGUAGGAACUGUGUUUGCCUACGGUGUGACAAGUAGUGGAAAGACACAUUUCCAAAUCAACCUAUGAGGUUGUAAGUUUUUGCAUUCUUCACCUCUCUUCAUAUCCUUGUUUUCUCUUCACUGUUGAUUUCAAAUGUUUCUCUUCACUGGGGUUUGCAUGCAGGUUAAAAGUAUUCAAGGUUGAGCUGAUUUUGUUGGAUUCAAUCCUUUAGAUCUUUUUUUCUCUGUCAUAAGAGUUGAAUUAUGGAACAAGAAUGUCAAGACUUGCCUCCCUAACUGCAGAGUAGAAACACUUAAUAGUGAAGAGGCUCAGAAUCUUUUACCUGGUGUGUGUUUACCAUUCAACUCACGUUUCUAUAUGCCCAAAGCUCUUAACAUCCGUUCUCAACACUAUCUUCAGGCACUUUUCCUAGCAUGUGAGAAUUUGGUGAAAGAAUCCUCCACCCUUGACUCGGGUCAGAAACAGCUCAAUUUACACAAAAGAGCUGUCCAUAGACUUUCCGAGUUUGAAGGUCAUAAUUCAUUGCUAUGAGUUUUGUUCUUUUGCUGAUAUCUGACUGCUUUUUUCUUUUUCCUUGAAAGUGAGUGAAUGGAACAAUUUAAACUUAG